GUCUGAAGGAGGCUGGAAAUCAAAUCAUCAAACAUCAGGCUUCUGCUCCAGAAAGCGUUCCUGGGUUCGACUCCUGGCCGGCCAAAUCGAGACCGAAGCAUCUCUGGGCAAGAUGCUGAACCCCCAGCCCUCCGGCAGACCCCGGAGCCACCAAAACAGAAAGCAGAUGAUAGCACACACACACGGGUGGCAACAGCGGCAACGGUGGAGGCGCUACAAAAUACUGAACCUAGCUGCUGUGGACCCGCCACCAGAUGGAUGAGCCACACAGGCGACGUGCAGAACCGCCGUGUUGACAUGUUCAGGAGCAGAAUGAGCCCAGUUGGAAAUGAAGGUGUGCAUUAGUCUGGGAGUACUCCACCUGCAGAGACCUACCAGCAGAGGGCGUUAGAUAACAUGCUUCAUUACUGCUGCUGCAGAAGAGGCUGGUUCACUUAAAGGCCCCAUGUGUGAAAUCCAUUGAAAUCAUGAUGAAAUAAUGUGACUCUUUAGCACCACGCAGUUCACAGAAGGUAUUGCAGCUGCGGUGGCCCACUCCUGAGUUUGACUGUAUAAUCAAUUUCCAACCCGUCAGUGGCGGCUGGUGAAAAAUAUUUUUGGUGGGGCUGUGCAAUUUUUUUAAACAAACUUGUGCUUUCUGAGCUUUGUGCACAACUUCACUAUUUCCUGAAUUAAGCACAGCUCUUUUAUUUCCUGUCUUACAUCAUUGGACAAACUGAUUAAUCCAGGAGUGUCUGACUAUUGGCACGCUGCCUUGCAGACCAAGGUUGAAAAAUACUGCAUUAAAUUGCACAUAAAAUAACAUGACCAUAAAUGGUAAAUAGGCAAUGCAAGAGGCAAGUAACAAAAACAUUUUGUUUAAUUUCAACAUUUGAGUGAACACGAAAAAUUAUGAGCAGGUCACUGUUACAGUAAUGGUAGUAAACACUACUUAGACAAAAUGCCAGAAAUUUACACUGUUAGGACUUAUGGAAAGUGGAAACACUUUCAUAGGAAAUAAUGUCAUCAGUAUCCUCUUACAAAUGUCAUAUUUCCCACUUUUUGGGACAAUAACACAUUUCUGGUUCUCAAUGAGAUGUUUUUACUUCAAAUGUGAAAACAUCUCAUUGAGAAUCAGAAAUGUUUUAUUGUCCCAAAAGCUGGGAAAUUUGUUUGCUGCAGCAGAAGUGUAACAAGUAAAAUGGAAUCAGAUUGAUGUAUGUACAAAUUUACUUGAAAUACACAUUUACAUGAUUAAAUAUGUAUAAUAGGUAUGUGUGUUGAAAUUAGUUUUUACAGUUAUUGCACAUUAAACAAUGUACAUGUUAUUAAACAAAUGUCCCGGUUUGUGGGUCAACCAAGGAUUUCAGAUUCUGAUUGUCUUGUUUACAGAAAUGUAAUGUACAGCUUACCUCUGCA
This is a non-coding RNA of Nothobranchius furzeri (turquoise killifish), 1398 nucleotides long. Lineage: Eukaryota; Metazoa; Chordata; Actinopteri; Cyprinodontiformes; Nothobranchiidae. The record is from RefSeq and is a predicted model, not a curated record.